Xenia sp. Carnegie-2017 is the source of this 364-nucleotide long non-coding RNA. RefSeq lists it as uncharacterized. The transcript is spliced from 2 exons. The record is from RefSeq and is a predicted model, not a curated record. Lineage: Eukaryota; Metazoa; Cnidaria; Anthozoa; Malacalcyonacea; Xeniidae.
ACUACCGAACAAUUAAUGGUUUUAAAGUUUUAGUUGAAAAAGAAUGGUCGUCCUUUUUACAUCGUUUCUCACAUCGCUGUAAUCAUACACAUUCAACGCAAUCAAGUGGAUUCACGUCUGUUUUCUUGCAAUUUCUUGAUGGCGUCCAUCAGAUAUUACGUCAGUAUCCACUAUCCUUCGAAUUCAACGAGUAUUAUUUACAUUUCCUCGCCUAUCAUCAUGUCUCCAUGCGUUUUCGUACGUUUUUUACUGGAUUCAGAGCACGAACGUGUGCAGUUGGGUUGGCUAUCAGAUGCUAAAAAGAAAGAUGCAAAGACUUCUAAAUCUCACAUAAAAAGUCUUUGGGAUUACAUCGACAUGCUAC